UACGAAGGGGGCUAGCGUUGCUCGGAUUGACUGGGCGUAAAGGGCGCGUAGGCGGUUCGUACAGUCAGACGUGAAAUUCCUGGGCUCAACCUGGGGGCUGCGUUUGAUACGUGCGGACUUGAGUGCGGAAGAGGGUCGUGGAAUUCCCAGUGUAGAGGUGAAAUUCGUAGAUAUUGGGAAGAGCACCGGUGGCGAAGGCGGCGACCUGGUCCGAUACUGACGCUGAGGCGCGAAAGCGUGGGGAGCAAACAGG
This 253-nucleotide ribosomal RNA is filed under the name uncultured bacterium. RNAcentral describes it as "partial 16S ribosomal RNA". It matches the Rfam family "Bacterial small subunit ribosomal RNA", at positions 524 to 776 of the family's 1533-position model. The record is from RNAcentral.